This is a long non-coding RNA of Nilaparvata lugens (brown planthopper), 446 nucleotides long. RefSeq lists it as uncharacterized. The transcript is spliced from 3 exons. The record is from RefSeq and is a predicted model, not a curated record. NCBI's taxonomy places the organism in Eukaryota, Metazoa, Arthropoda, Insecta, Hemiptera, Delphacidae.
AUACAGUAUUAUCUAAUUAUGUUUCAAAUUAUUUCAUAAGUUAUAUUCUUAGGAAACUCCUGACAUAACUGAGUGAAAGUUACUAAUUACACGUGAAAUGUUUUAUUUUCGCAACAAAUUUCAAUGUUAAAGCCCGAUAAUUGAACUAUAUAGCUUUUUUAUUAGCAUAAAUAUUUACGCUAGUAACUGCAACCCACAAGCAAAACCUCUUUCAACCAUGGGCAAGGAAAGGACUACCGUCAACAUCACCAUCAUCGGACACAUUGCCUGAAUAUUUCUUCAAACAACAAAAUGGACUUCUCGAUAGAAAGAAUGAUUACGGAUGGAUUUUCUACGACUUGAUUUAUGAAAUACACAAAUUCACACACAUGUAGCUACAUUCAAACACAUACACAUUAACACACUAAAAAUGUUUGGCAAUAAAGUUUCAUAUUUCUAAAUUCCAA